CCCUUAGAUGUUCUGGGCCGCACGCGCGCUACACUGAUGCAUUCAACGAGUUUCUUCCUGGUCCGAGAGGAAUGGGUAACCUUUUGAAAGUGCAUCGUGAUAGGGAUAGACUAUUGCAAUUAUUGGUCUUCAACGAGGAAUUCCUAGUAGACGUAGUUCAUCAGACUGCAUCGAUUACGUCCCUGCCCUUUGUACACACCGCCCGUCGCUACUACCGAUUGAAUGCUCAGGUGAGCCAUUCGGACUUUCAUCAUGCUGGUUUCCAGUUUUGAUGAAGGAAAGUCUUGCGAACCUUAUCAUUUAGAGGAAGGAGAAGUCGUAACA
RNAcentral lists this ribosomal RNA (324 nucleotides) under uncultured eukaryote. Its description in RNAcentral is "partial 18S ribosomal RNA". It matches the Rfam family "Eukaryotic small subunit ribosomal RNA", at positions 1470 to 1796 of the family's 1831-position model. The record is from RNAcentral.